UGAAUACGAGAUGCUACGGCGUCGAAGCAGUGUAUGUCAGACUUCCAAGAAAAGCUCGCAAUGUCAUAAAUAAAGAAUGCCUGUACCAUAACCGACACAGGUGGGUAGGUAGAGUAUACUAAGGGGCGCGAGAUAACUCUCUCUAAGGAACUCGGCAAAAUAACUCCGUAACUUCGGGAGAAGGAGUGCCUUCUUGAAGAAGGUUGCAAUAACAAGAUCCAAGCAACUGUUUAUCAAAAACACAGGUCUCCGCUAAGUCGAAAGACGAUGUAUGGGGGCUGACGCCUGCCCAGUGCCAGAAGGUUAAAGAAGCUGGUUAGCAAUAGCGAAGCUGGUGACUGAAGCCCUGGUGAACGGCGGCCGUAACAAUAACGGUCCUAAGGUAGCGAAAUUCCUUGUCGGGUAAGUUCCGACCCGCACGAAAGGCGUAAUGAUUUGGAUACUGUCUCGGAGAGGGACUCGGUGAAAUAGACUUGUCUGUGAAGAUGCGGACUACCUGCACCAGGACAGAAAGACCCUAUGAAGCUUUACUGUAACUUGAAAUUGAAAUUGGACUUUAUUUGCGCAGUAUAGGUGGAAGGCGUUGAGAUUACUCUUGCGGGAUUAGUGGAGCCAUCAGUGAGAUACCACUCCUAUAAUGUUAGAUUUCUAACUUUGGAUCAUAAUCUGGUCAAAGAACAGUUUCAGGCGGGCAGUUUGACUGGGGCGGUCGCCUCCCAAAUGGUAACGGAGGCGUACAAAGGUUUCCUCUGAACGGGUAGAAAUCGUAUCUAGAGUGUAAAGGCAUAAGGAAGCUUGACUGUGAGACCUACAAGUCGAGCAGGGACGAAAGUCGGUCUUAGUGAUCUGACGGUGCUGAGUGGAAAGGCCGUCACUCAACGGAUAAAAGUUACUCUAGGAUAACAGGCUGAUCUCCCCCAAGAGUUCACAUCGACGGGGAGGUUUGGCACCUCGAUGUCGGCUCAUCGCAUCCUGGGGCGGUAGUACGUCCCAAGGGUUGGGCUGUUCGCCCAUGAAAGCGGUACGCGAGCUGGGUUCAGAACGUCGUGAGACAGUUCGGUCCAUAUCCGGUGUAGGCGUUAGAAUAUUGAGAGGAGCCUUCUUUAGUACGAGAGGACCGAGAAGGACAUACCUCUGGUGUACCAGUUAUCGUGCCAACGGUAAACGCUGGGUAGCUAUGUAUGGAGAGGAUAACCGCUGAAAGCAUCUAAGUGGGAAGCCCACCUCAAGAUGAGUAUUCUCAC
RNAcentral lists this ribosomal RNA (1244 nucleotides) under metagenome. RNAcentral describes it as "bacterial LSU rRNA". It matches the Rfam family "Bacterial large subunit ribosomal RNA", at positions 1564 to 2817 of the family's 2925-position model. The record is from RNAcentral.